This 424-nucleotide ribosomal RNA is filed under the name uncultured eukaryote. Its description in RNAcentral is "bacterial SSU rRNA". It matches the Rfam family "Eukaryotic small subunit ribosomal RNA", at positions 345 to 772 of the family's 1831-position model. The record is from RNAcentral.
CGCGGUAACGACGGGUAACGGGGAAUCAGGGUUCGAUUCCGGAGAGGGAGCCCGAGAAACGGCUACCACUUCCAAGGAAGGCAGCAGGCGCGCAACUUACCCUAAUCUCGAUUCGAGGAGGUAGUGACAAGAAAUACCGAUGCGGGACCCUACGGGUGCCGCGUUCGGAAUGAGUACGAUUCGAACCACCUAACGAGGAACGAUCGGAGGGCAAGUCUGGUGCCAGCAGCCGCGGUAAUUCCAGCUCCAAUAGCGUACGUUAAAGUUGCUGCAGUUAAAAAGCUCGUAGUUGAACGUUCGGGUUCCGCGGGACGGGGCCGCCCCGCGAGGGACGGCGCCGCCCCGGGGCUCGUGAUAUCUUAUCUCGCCGCCCGUCGCGAGGCGGACGGAGGGAUGGAUGAGGUUACCUGGAAAAAAUCGGGGC